Molecule: microRNA precursor, 83 nt
Organism: Chlorocebus sabaeus (green monkey)
Lineage: Eukaryota; Metazoa; Chordata; Mammalia; Primates; Cercopithecidae
Rfam family: mir-548 microRNA precursor family
Source: Rfam
UAUUAGGUUGGUGCAAAAGUAAUUGUGCUUUUUGCCAUUUAAAAUAAUGGCAAAAUCACAAUUACUUUUGCACCAACCUAAUA